AUACUUACCUAGAUGGGGUCAAUGGAUGAUCAUUAUGAUCCAUGCUAGAUUUAUGACCUCCAUUGCACUUGGGAGGGGUGUUAGUCUAGGGUCUUCUUAGGUAGGAGAGUCUACAUCAUAAUUUGUGGUAGUAGGGACCUACGUUCACACAACCCUUUU
Molecule: non-coding RNA, 159 nt
Organism: Cajanus cajan (pigeon pea)
Lineage: Eukaryota; Viridiplantae; Streptophyta; Magnoliopsida; Fabales; Fabaceae
Source: Rfam